This is a long non-coding RNA of Lontra canadensis (Northern American river otter), 438 nucleotides long. RefSeq lists it as uncharacterized. The transcript is spliced from 3 exons. The record is from RefSeq and is a predicted model, not a curated record. Lineage: Eukaryota; Metazoa; Chordata; Mammalia; Carnivora; Mustelidae.
CAGAAGUUAAGGAAAAGUAAAUGAAGUGAAUGAGCUUUGAAACUCACCCCUGCACAGCGAACUUGCUCCCUGCCUUUCUGGAGAUCCGUGUGUAAACACAGGACUGUGUAAUUAACCUGAUGUCAACACCAGCUGUACAAAGGCAUCAGAGGGGGACCAGGUGGCCCAGGAGAGAGAUACCCGGGCAGACCUUGGGAGAGAAGGAGCCCUUUCCUCCGGCUUCUCGUUCCAAUUCCUUCAAGGGAGGAAUAUCCUACCAAAAGUGGGCAGGCGGCUUCCAGGAGCUGGCUGUGGAAGGUCCAGACUCCAGCCUGGAGCUGGAUAGGGGGUGGUCUAAAACCAUGUGGACCACCUGGAAGGCACAGAGGCUUUGACAAGCAGUGCAGCAACAAGACAGAAACUACCAUUCGCGGGACAAAUUCAGGUCAGUCUUUUGGG